RNAcentral lists this ribosomal RNA (585 nucleotides) under uncultured bacterium. RNAcentral's name for it is "partial 16S ribosomal RNA". It matches the Rfam family "Bacterial small subunit ribosomal RNA", at positions 355 to 1375 of the family's 1533-position model. The record is from RNAcentral.
UGGGGAAUUUUGGACAAUGGGCGAAAGCCUGAUCCAGCAAUGCCGCGUGUGUGAAGAAGGCCUUCGGGUUGUAAAGCACUUUUGUCCGGAAAGAAAUCCUUGGCUCUAAUACAGUCGGGGGAUGACGGUACCGGAAGAAUAAGCACCGGCUAACUACGUGCCAGCAGCCGCGGUAAUACGUAGGGUGCAAGUGUUAAUCGGAAUUACUGGGCGUAAAGCGUGCGCAGGCGGUUUGCUAAGACCGAUGUGAAAUCCCCGGGCUCAACCUGGGGACUGCAUUGGUGACUGGCAGGCUAGAGUAUGGCAGAGGGGGGUAGAAUUCCACGUGUAGCAGUGAAAUGCGUAGAGAUGUGGAGGAAUACCGAUGGCGAAGGCAGCCCCCUGGGCCAAUACUGACGCUCAUGCACGAAAGCGUGGGGAGCAAACAGGAUUAGAUACCCUGGUAGUCCACGCCCUAAACGAUGUCAACUAGUUGUUGGGGAUUCAUUUCCUUAGUAACGUAGCUAACGCGUGAAGUUGACCGCCUGGGGAGUACGGUCGCAAGAUUAAAACUCAAAUGAAUUGACGGGGUCAUAGCUGUUUCCU